Molecule: ribosomal RNA, 253 nt
Filed under: uncultured bacterium
Lineage: Bacteria
Description: partial 16S ribosomal RNA
Rfam family: Bacterial small subunit ribosomal RNA
Source: RNAcentral
UACGUAGGGGCCGAGCGUUGUCCGGAGUUAUUGGGCGUAAAGCGCGCGCAGGCGGCUUGGCGCGCCCGACGUGAAAGCCCCCGGCUUAACCGGGGAGAGUCGUCGGGGACGGCCGGGCUUGAGGGCGGGAGAGGGUGGUGGAAUUCCCGGUGUAGUGGUGAAAUGCGUAGAGAUCGGGAGGAACACCUGUGGCGAAGGCGGCCACCUGGGCCGACCCUGACGCUGAGGCGCGAAGGCGUGGGGAGCGAACGGG